This is a long non-coding RNA of Mus musculus (house mouse), 351 nucleotides long. RefSeq annotates it as predicted gene, 36335. NCBI's taxonomy places the organism in Eukaryota, Metazoa, Chordata, Mammalia, Rodentia, Muridae. The record is from RefSeq and is a predicted model, not a curated record. The transcript is spliced from 3 exons.
CAGCAGUCCUUGUUGCAUGUGGUAGCCAGAUAAGCAAAGUUUUCACUGAAAUCUGUGUCGCCUCCUCGGUGUCCCUUUCAGUACGAGACAGAGUGGAUGUCUCUCCUGUAUACACAAAGAAUAUCAAGUAGUACCACACAAGGCUUUUUCCCAAAAGCAUCACAUUGCUUUUCUUGACCUUCAUGACAACCCCGAGUCUGGAAUCUGUGAUCCUGCUACCUGCAAGAAAUCCACAGAAUUGCAGAGAGUACCUGCUUCCUCUUCCAUACGGUAUAAUGCUCUAGAACUGCAUGAUCAAGGAGCAUACAAAAUCUUCCCGUGAAAGGUGACUUCUGGACCCUCAGAAGGCCA